GGUGGGGAUGUUGAAGGCCCCACUGGUGGCAUGGGUGGGGAGGUUCAAGACCCCACUGGUAGCAUGGGUGGGGAGCUCCCUGCCACCGUGUAAUGAAACCUUUAUGAUCUACAGUACCUUUUAUGUUGUGUGUGACAGAGAAACCUUUCUCUGCCUUAUUAAUAGCAAUAAAUAAAGCACAUCACUUGUGCGUGUUCUGGAAGAAAAAUCUCAGUGCUGGAAGGGUUAAUCUUCUCUUUGUGAGAAUUAACCGUGCCCUAGAAAUAAGCCGAUGAGGAUAAAUAAGAUGUGGUGCUACAGUACAUCAUGAGGAUUACUCAUCAAUAUUGGAUUAGUCAUCAAGAGGAUGCUUUUCCAAUGAGCUGUAGUACAUCAGACCUUACAUACCUCCAUUAUGUGCAUAUGAGUGAAUGAACAAACUAUUUUGUGCUCAUUUAGCGAUUGUAUAUGGGUCCAUCAUUUUGGAUUGCAUGUUCACGAUUACCACUCGCAUGGCUUUGACUAAUGUUACGUGGUA
This 517-nucleotide long non-coding RNA is filed under the name Triticum aestivum (bread wheat). Its description in RNAcentral is "long non-coding RNA (TAES_LNC006534)". Lineage: Eukaryota; Viridiplantae; Streptophyta; Magnoliopsida; Poales; Poaceae. The record is from RNAcentral.